UAGGGAAUCUUCGGCAAUGGGGGCAACCCUGACCGAGCAACGCCGCGUGAGUGAAGAAGGUUUUCGGAUCGUAAAGCUCUGUCGUAAGAGAAGAACGUGUGUGAGAGUGGAAAGUUCACACAGUGACGGUAACUUACCAGAAAGGGACGGCUAACUACGUGCCAGCAGCCGCGGUAAUACGUAGGUCCCGAGCGUUGUCCGGAUUUAUUGGGCGUAAAGCGAGCGCAGGCGGUUUAAUAAGUCUGAAGUUAAAGGCAGUGGCUUAACCAUUGUUCGCUUUGGAAACUGUUAAACUUGAGUGCAGAAGGGGAGAGUGGAAUUCCAUGUGUAGCGGUGAAAUGCGUAGAUAUAUGGAGGAACACCGGUGGCGAAAGCGGCUCUCUGGUCUGUAACUGACGCUGAGGCUCGAAAGCGUGGGGAGCAAACAGG
RNAcentral lists this ribosomal RNA (429 nucleotides) under bacterium. Its description in RNAcentral is "partial 16S ribosomal RNA". It matches the Rfam family "Bacterial small subunit ribosomal RNA", at positions 355 to 776 of the family's 1533-position model. The record is from RNAcentral.